Molecule: long non-coding RNA, 548 nt
Filed under: Sus scrofa (pig)
Lineage: Eukaryota; Metazoa; Chordata; Mammalia; Artiodactyla; Suidae
Description: lncRNA (ENSSSCG00065039152.1, ENSSSCG00170027568.1, ENSSSCG00175017584.1)
Source: RNAcentral
GCCUUGGGUUCUGCUUUCUAGAGGACUUGUGCUAGGGCAGUUGAUGGGGUUGCUGCUGCCACCACCGAACUUGCAGAGUGGAGAUGACUAAGAUACCAUGGGCCUGGUAUCUUUCCAGAGGAGAUGCAGAACCAGUAUUGUACCAAGAUCUGAGAAAAACUUCUCCAGAGGUUCCACAGAAAAGACUUGAACUGGAACACCGAAUCUUCCUGGGGCUUGAGCCUGAUGCCCUUCAGGUGGGAACUAAACUGCCUGCUCUCCUGGGCCUCUGACUUGCAACGCACCCUGCAUACCUUGGGACUGGCCCACCUCCAUAAUCACGGCCAGCAGCAGGACUGGGACAGCAGGAUCUCCAGAAUGUUCGCCCCAAGUGCUUCGUCUUCCGCGUUAGCCAUUCAACAUGAUGAAGCAACAGAGACCCACGGGGAUGAAGUGAAUUGCUUGAAAUCCCCCAACAGUUGCUGAUGAAGCCAGGAAAAGAAUUCAAGCUUCCUGACUUCCAAUUCUAUGUCCUCUCCAUCCCACAGCACAUAAGAUACAAUUAUAAC